GGCGGACGGGUGAGUAAUGUCUGGGAAACUGCCCGAUGGAGGGGGAUAACUACUGGAAACGGUAGCUAAUACCGCAUAACGUCGCAAGACCAAGAGGGGACCUUCGGGCCUCUUGCCAUCGGAUGUGCCCAGAUGGGAUUAGCUAGUAGGUGGGGUAACGGCUCACCUAGGCGACGAUCCCUAGCUGGUCUGAGAGGAUGACCAGCCACACUGGAACUGAGACACGGUCCAG
RNAcentral lists this ribosomal RNA (232 nucleotides) under uncultured bacterium. RNAcentral's name for it is "partial 16S ribosomal RNA". It matches the Rfam family "Bacterial small subunit ribosomal RNA", at positions 97 to 334 of the family's 1533-position model. The record is from RNAcentral.